UCGUUCAAAGGCACUUCGUGAUCAAAGGCACCGCCAUCAAACGGCUCGGCUUUCAUCUCACCGCACGAAGUGCAAAUUAUGUUAUAAAGACAGUGAGUAGCUCGCCCGCCAACCGGUGUACCCACUUCUAAUUAAUUCAACCCGUCCGCUGUUGGUUGGUGCGUACGUGGUUGUUGCCUUUCUCGUCUUGUCAAGCUGACAGCCGCCAGCGGAGGACGGGGCGAGGGCGCGCGGAGCAGGGCCACGGUCGCGGGCGGACGAUCAAGAAUCAAGAGCCGCGUGCGUCGACCCACGCCAAGCUUUGAUCUUGCCGCUAUCGCUCGCCGUCUGAGCAGGCUGCGAGUGCCGCCGAUGCUUCGGAGAUCCCAGUUUCCACUAUCCGGUGUUGCCUACAUCACUAGCGGGGAGUCGACAAGUUUGUCGAGAUUUUGAAACAUAAUGUAAAUUAGGCAGCCGGCGCGCGGCGACCGGCGACACAACAAAGGUGCCGACUCAGGCUCUCGCACCCAAGCCUUUUAUUUGCUACGGUUUAAUUUAACUUUUAUGUUACAUAUACCUGGAUUUAUAAUUCUAUCAAUAGUAAUCAAAUUGACCGACUCAAUGGCUAAAGGACGUAUACCCAGGCCAGAAUCAGGAUACAGGAAAAUAAACAAGUAAUAAAUAAUUGUCAGUCGUCUACAGUCAGUAAUGACAGCUAAUAUACAUAAAAAUGUCAUUCAAUGAUUAGCUGACAGUCAAGGCUCAACCAUAUUUAUUAAAAAGUCAAAAACUGAAAGAGGCAUAUGGUCGGUCUGUUUUA
Long non-coding RNA from Achroia grisella, 799 nucleotides. RefSeq lists it as uncharacterized. NCBI's taxonomy places the organism in Eukaryota, Metazoa, Arthropoda, Insecta, Lepidoptera, Pyralidae. The record is from RefSeq and is a predicted model, not a curated record. The transcript has 4 exons.